Molecule: microRNA precursor, 64 nt
Filed under: Cavia aperea (Brazilian guinea pig)
Lineage: Eukaryota; Metazoa; Chordata; Mammalia; Rodentia; Caviidae
Description: miRNA (ENSCAPG00000003612.1)
Source: RNAcentral
UCAUCCACCGGGCAUGGUGGUGCACACCAGUCAUCCCAGCCCCUCAGGAGGCUGAGGCAGGAGG